CUCCAGACUCCUACGGGAGGCAGCAGUGGGGAAUAUUGCACAAUGGGGGAAACCCUGAUGCAGCGACGCCGCGUGAGCGAUGAAGUAUUUCGGUAUGUAAAGCUCUAUCAGCAGGGAAGAAAAUGACGGUACCUGACUAAGAAGCCCCGGCUAACUACGUGCCAGCAGCCGCGGUAAUACGUAGGGGGCAAGCGUUAUCCGGAUUUACUGGGUGUAAAGGGAGCGUAGACGGCAAUGCAAGCCAGAUGUGAAAGCCCGGGGCUCAACCCCGGGACUGCAUUUGGAACUGUGUAGCUGGAGUGUCGGAGAGGCAGGCGGAAUUCCUAGUGUAGCGGUGAAAUGCGUAGAUAUUAGGAGGAACACCAGUGGCGAAGGCGGCCUGCUGGACGAUGACUGACGUUGAGGCUCGAAAGCGUGGGGAGCAAACAGGAUUAGAUACCCUGGUA
Molecule: ribosomal RNA, 446 nt
Filed under: uncultured bacterium
Lineage: Bacteria
Description: partial 16S ribosomal RNA
Rfam family: Bacterial small subunit ribosomal RNA
Source: RNAcentral